Molecule: long non-coding RNA, 643 nt
Filed under: Setaria viridis
Lineage: Eukaryota; Viridiplantae; Streptophyta; Magnoliopsida; Poales; Poaceae
Description: long non-coding RNA (SVIR_LNC006684)
Source: RNAcentral
UGAGCGCACGCACCGGCGGGAGUAAUGGCGCCGGGCCAGGCGGAGGAGUGGCGCCAGUGGAUGGGGCGCCGGGUGCCACGAGAAGAAAGGAGAGAGAGAAGAAGGAAGGAAGAAGAAAGAAGAAGAAGGAAGAAAGGAAGAAGGGAAAAAGAAAAGAAAGAAAGGGGGAAAAUGAAAAAGAAAAAGAGAGGGACCGGCGGCGAUUGCGGCACGCGGUCAGAGCACGCGCGCGGUCUGACAACGGCACGCGGCGAGAUUCACGGGCAUAGAUAAAAAGACAGGUGGGGGUCGGCAUGGGUACCGGGAUGGCGAAAACGCCGGGGAGAUUUCCGAUUUCCGGGAGCUCAGCGGUAAAAAGAUUUUAAAGGCAGUUUUUAACGGGUGCUUUUUAGUUGGUGAUUUUCUGCGGGCGUUACACUUUGGCUCCUCUACUGAUCAGUUUUCACGUGGCGACGGUUGAUGGGCCCCCUACAUCGGUUAUGGGAUAUUCCCCGAAGAUUCCUUGGCAGCACCGUCUCUUGGAGCCUAUAAAGAGAGGCACCCCCUCCAUUCUAACACACCCCACAAGUUGAAUCACUCACUCCCUCUUAGUUUCCAUGUUAGUGGAGUUAGGCUAGAGUAGCUUGUUGACGACAGUUAGCAC